AACUAUGAAGUUACGGUGUAUAUUUAAAUGGUUCCGGUGAGGUUGCGGUGGAACGUAACAUACCAAAUUUUAUAUAUAAAACUGAAAAUAAAUAAAAAUAGUAUAAGAUACUAUUUUUAUUCGAUUUAGAGAACUGAAAUAUAAGUUGGGAAUGACCUGUGCUGAAAUCGGAGCGAAAACAGAAGAUUUAGAAUUUUCUGUAAGAAACGGGGUAGAUAAAUUAGCAGAAAAUGCACAGUGUCAGAAAAUUAUGAAAAUUGGCAGAGAUGUCAGAAAUAUUUUUAUGAGGCUAGAUUUAAAGUUUCAUAUUUUUCUGACACUCGUAGAGUGAGGAAUAAAAUCCGACAGCUAUUUGAUAAAGAUUACAGUUCGGUAUAGUUUUCGGCGACCAAACGGGGUCGAAACUGAAAACUUAAAAUAUAUUCUUGCUCAGUACGUAAAACCAAACAUGACUGUCAAGUUUGAGCUCAAACGGACAUUCAGGGAGCUCCGGCGAAAGUUAUCAAAUUUCAAGCUGUCUGGAGUGAAUAGUGUUUGAGGGGUAUUAUAA
Molecule: long non-coding RNA, 550 nt
Filed under: Ananas comosus (pineapple)
Lineage: Eukaryota; Viridiplantae; Streptophyta; Magnoliopsida; Poales; Bromeliaceae
Description: long non-coding RNA (ACOM_LNC039203)
Source: RNAcentral